RNAcentral lists this ribosomal RNA (406 nucleotides) under uncultured bacterium. Its description in RNAcentral is "partial 16S ribosomal RNA". It matches the Rfam family "Bacterial small subunit ribosomal RNA", at positions 29 to 526 of the family's 1533-position model. The record is from RNAcentral.
AUUGAACGCUGGCGGCAGGCCUAACACAUGCAAGUCGAGCGAGCGGCGGACGGGUGAGUAAUGGCUGGGAAACUGCCUGAUGGAGGGGGAUAACUACUGCAAACGGUAGCUAAUCCCGCAUACCAUCAGAUGUGCGCAGAUGUGAUUAGCUAGUGGGGGGGGUAACGGCUCACCUAGGCGACGAUCCCUAGCCGGUCGGAGAGGAUGAGCAGCCACACUGGAACUGAGACACGGUCCAGACUCCGACGGGAGGCAGCAGUGGGGAAUAUUGCACAAUGGGCGCAAGCCUGAUGCAGCCAUGCCGCGUGUGUGAAGAAGGCCUUCGGGUUGUAAAGCACUUUCAGCGGGGAGGCGUUACCCGCAGAAGAAGCACCGGCUAACUCCGUGCCAGCAGCCGCGGUAAUUC